CCUACGGGAGGCAGCAGUGGGGAAUAUUGCACAAUGGGCGAAAGCCUGAUGCAGCAACGCCGCGUGAGUGAAGAAGGACUUCGGUAUGUAAAGCUCUAUCAGCAGGGAAGAAGGGGACGUUACCUGAUUAAGAAGGCCCGGCUAAUUACGUGCCAGCAGCCGCGGUAAUACGGAGGGGGCACGCGUUAUCCGGAUUUACUGGGUGUAAAGCGAGCGCAGACGGCAGGGCAAGUCUGGAGUGAAAGCCCCGGGCCCAACCCCGGAACUGCACUGGAAACUGGGCGGCUAGAGUACUGGAGGGGCAGGCGGAAUUCCUAGGGUAGCGGUGAAAUGCGUAGAUAUUAGGAGGAACACCAGUGGCGAAGGCGGCCUGCUGGACAGUAACUGACGCUGAGGCUCGAAAGCGUGGGGAGCAAACAGGAUUAGAUACCCGAGUAGUC
Molecule: ribosomal RNA, 440 nt
Filed under: uncultured bacterium
Lineage: Bacteria
Description: partial 16S ribosomal RNA
Rfam family: Bacterial small subunit ribosomal RNA
Source: RNAcentral